UACUAGAGUAGCACUCGCAUAUCAAUAAGCGGAGGAAAAGAAACUAACAAGGAUUCCCCUAGUAACGGCGAGUGAAGCGGGAAGAGCUCAAAUUUGAAAUCUUAAAGGGUUUCCCUUUACGAAUUGUAGUUUAAAGAAGUGUUCUCUGUUGAGGUUUUGGUAAAAGUUCUUUGGAAUAGGACAUCAUAGAGGGUGAGAAUCCCGUAUUUGACCUUUACUUUCAACUUUGUGAUACACUUUCAAAGAGUCGGAUUGUUUGGGAAUGCAGUCCAAAAUGGGUGGUAAAUUUCAUCUAAAGCUAAAUAUUGGCGAGAGACCGAUAGCGAACAAGUACCGUGAGGGAAAGAUGAAAAGAACUUUGAAAAGAGAGUUAAACAGUACGUGAAAUUGUUAAAAGGGAAGCGUUUGACACCAGUGUUGUUUUUCUGAAAAUCAAUUAAAGAACUGUUUAUGCUAAGCUGUUUAGACUUUAUCAGCUAACUGUUUAGUUUUGAGCUUUUCUUUAAUGCACUUUUCAGUUAACAAGUCAACAUCAAUUUCUUUUGCUGUAAAAAAGCUUGAGGAAGGUGGCUUGAGAUUCGUCUUAAGUGUUUAUAGCCUCUUGCCUAUGCAGUCGGAGAGAUUGAGGUCUGCAGCGUAGAUCCUUCGGGGCUAAAUGCAUUUGUGCUAAGUUAUAACAUUUUAUAGACAACUUGUUGACUAUGAUUUGUCUUGUAGCUUACUCGCUUAUGUUAUUUUACCUACGCUUAGGAUGUUGAUAUCGCGCUCUCACUG
This 774-nucleotide ribosomal RNA is filed under the name uncultured Neocallimastigales. Its description in RNAcentral is "partial large subunit ribosomal RNA". It matches the Rfam family "Eukaryotic large subunit ribosomal RNA", at positions 20 to 643 of the family's 3401-position model. The record is from RNAcentral. Lineage: Eukaryota; Fungi; Neocallimastigomycota; Neocallimastigomycetes; Neocallimastigales.